Molecule: ribosomal RNA, 729 nt
Filed under: Candidatus Tremblayella phenacoccinincola
Lineage: Bacteria; Pseudomonadati; Pseudomonadota; Betaproteobacteria
Description: bacterial SSU rRNA
Rfam family: Bacterial small subunit ribosomal RNA
Source: RNAcentral
GGGAUAGAAUUCCAGGAGUAGCGGUGAAAUGCGUAGAUAUCUGGAGGAAUACCAAAGGCGAAGGCAGUCCCCUGGUCCGAUACUGACACUGAGGUACGAAAGCGUGGGGAGCAAACAGGAUUAGAUACCCUGGUAGUCCACGCCCUAAACGAUGUCGAUUAGCCAUUGGAAGGACCCCUUUUCCUUUCAGUGACGUAGCUAACGCGUUAAAUCGACCGCCUGGGAAGUACGACCGCAAGGUUAAAACUCAAAGGAAUUGACGGGGACCUGAACAAGCGGUGAAUGAUGUGGAUUAAUUCGAUGCUACGCGAAGAACCUUACCUACCUUUGACAUGGCCAAAGUUCUACCGAGAGGCGGAAGUACUCGUAAGAGGAUUGGCGCACAGGUGCUGCAUGGUUGUCGUCAGUUCGUGUCGUGAGAUGUUGGGCUCAGUCCCGCAACGAACGCAACCCUUAUCUUUAAUUGCUCCUAUUUUAACAGGCACUUUAAAGAAACUGCCAAUGAUAAGUUGGAGGAAGGUGGGGAUCACGUCAAGUCCGCAUGGCCUUUAUAGGUAGGGCUUCACACGUCAUACAAUGGUUAGAACAAAGAGCUGCAAAUUCGUAAGAAGGAGCCAAUCUCACAAACCUAACCUCAGUUCGAAUUGCGGUCUGCAACUCGAGCGCAUGAAGCCGGAAUCGCUAGUAAUCGUGGAUCAGAAUGCCACGGUGAAUACGUUCUUAGGUCUU